RNAcentral lists this ribosomal RNA (250 nucleotides) under uncultured bacterium. RNAcentral describes it as "partial 16S ribosomal RNA". It matches the Rfam family "Bacterial small subunit ribosomal RNA", at positions 524 to 773 of the family's 1533-position model. The record is from RNAcentral.
UACGUAGGGGGCGAGCGUUGUCCGGAAUUAUUGGGCGUAAAGCGCGCGCAGGCGGUCUCUUAAGUCUGAUGUGAAAGUCCACGGCUCAACCGUGGAGGGUCAUUGGAAACUGGGGGACUUGAGGGCGGGAGAGGAGAGUGGAAUUCCACGUGUAGCGGUGAAAUGCGUAGAGAUGUGGAGGAACACCAGUGGCGAAGGCGGCUCUCUGGCCUGCACCUGACGCUGAGGCGCGAAAGCGUGGGGAGCAAAC